RNAcentral lists this ribosomal RNA (383 nucleotides) under Malacoctenus hubbsi (redside blenny). RNAcentral describes it as "partial 12S ribosomal RNA". It matches the Rfam family "Bacterial small subunit ribosomal RNA", at positions 553 to 1107 of the family's 1533-position model. The record is from RNAcentral. Lineage: Eukaryota; Metazoa; Chordata; Actinopteri; Blenniiformes; Labrisomidae.
AUUCGGCGUAAAGGGUGGUUUUAAAAUACUAAUACUAAAGCCGAACGCCCUCACGACUGUUAUACGUUUUCGAGGGUAAGAAGCCCUACUACGAAAGUGGCUUUAAACUCUUUGACCCCACGAAAGCUGUGGAACAAACUGGGAUUAGAUACCCCACUAUGCACAGCCAUAAACUUUGGCAGCCCCUUACAUACACUGCCCGCCAGGGUACUACGAGCAUCAGCUUGAAACCCAAAGGACUUGGCGGUGCCUUAGAACCACCUAGAGGAGCCUGUUCUAGAACCGAUACCCCCCGUUCAACCUCACCCUCCCUUGUUCCUCCCGCCUAUAUACCGCCGUCGUCAGCUUACCCUGUGAAGGUUUAACAGUAAGCAGAAUCAGUA